Molecule: ribosomal RNA, 478 nt
Filed under: uncultured bacterium
Lineage: Bacteria
Description: partial 16S ribosomal RNA
Rfam family: Bacterial small subunit ribosomal RNA
Source: RNAcentral
GACGAACGCUGGCGGCGUGCUUAACACAUGCAAGUCGAACGGUAAGGCCCUUCGGGGUACACGAGUGGCGAACGGGUGAGUAACACGUGGGUGAUCUGCCCUGCACUUCGGGAUAAGCCUGGGAAACUGGGUCUAAUACCGGAUAGGACUCCGGACUGCAUGGUCGGGGGUGGAAAGCUUUUGCGGUGUGGGAUGGGCCCGCGGCCUAUCAGCUUGUUGGUGGGGUGAUGGCCUAACAAGGCGACGACGGGUAGCCGGCCUGGGAGGGUGACCAGCCACGCUGGGACUGAGAUACGGCCCAGACUCCUACGGGAGGCAGCAGUGGGGAAUAUUGCACAAUGGGCGCAAGCCUGAUGCAGCGACGCCGCGUGAGGGAUGACGGCCUUCGGGUUGUAAACCUCUUUCAGCAUCGACGAAGCGCAAGUGACGGUAGGUGCAGAAGAAGGACCGGCCAACUACGUGCCAGCCGCCGCAGUAA